CAGUAGCCGCGGUAAUACGGAGGAUCCGAGCGUUAUCCGGAAUUAUUGGGUUUAAAGGGUGCGUAGGCGGAUAGAUAAGUCAGUGGUGAAAGACGGUAGCUCAACCAUCGCAGUGCCGUUGAUACUGUUUAUCUUGAAUAUGGAUGAGGUAGGCGGAAUGUGGCAAGUAGCGGUGAAAUGCAUAGAUAUGCCACAGAACACCGAUUGCGAAGGCAGCUUACCAAGGCAAAAUUGACGCUGAGGCACGAAGGCGUGGGGAUCGAACAGGAUUAGAUACCCCCGUAGUCCCUGUCUCUUAUAC
This 301-nucleotide ribosomal RNA is filed under the name uncultured bacterium. RNAcentral describes it as "partial 16S ribosomal RNA". It matches the Rfam family "Bacterial small subunit ribosomal RNA", at positions 509 to 807 of the family's 1533-position model. The record is from RNAcentral.